ACCAGUUGUUCCGCCAGGAGCAUAGCUGGGUAGCUAAGUCGGGAAGGGAUAAACGCUGAAAGCAUCUAAGCGUGAAGCCCCCCUCAAGAUGAGAUUUCCCAUAGCAUAAGCUAGUAAGACCCCUUGAAGAACACAAGGUUGAUAGGUCAGAGGUGUAAGUGUGGUAACAUAUUUAGCUGACUGAUACUAAUAGGUCGAGGGCUUGACCAA
RNAcentral lists this ribosomal RNA (210 nucleotides) under Clostridium tertium. RNAcentral describes it as "partial 23S ribosomal RNA". It matches the Rfam family "Bacterial large subunit ribosomal RNA", at positions 2716 to 2925 of the family's 2925-position model. The record is from RNAcentral. Lineage: Bacteria; Bacillati; Bacillota; Clostridia; Eubacteriales; Clostridiaceae.